CAGUAGCCGCGGGAAUACGAAGGGUGCAAGCGUUAAUCGGAAUUACUGGGCGUAAAGCGUGCGUAGGCGGUUUCUUAAGUCUGAUGUGAAAGCCCCCGGCUCAACCGGGGAGGGUCAUUGGAAACUGGGAAACUUGAGUGCAGAAGAGGAGAGUGGAAUUCCACGUGUAGCGGUGAAAUGCGUAGAGAUGUGGAGGAACACCAGUGGCGAAGGCGACUCUCUGGUCUGUAACUGACGCUGAGGAGCGAGAGCGCGGGGAGCGAACAGGAUUAGAUACCCCUGUAGUCCCUGUCUCUUAUAC
This 301-nucleotide ribosomal RNA is filed under the name uncultured bacterium. RNAcentral describes it as "partial 16S ribosomal RNA". It matches the Rfam family "Bacterial small subunit ribosomal RNA", at positions 509 to 807 of the family's 1533-position model. The record is from RNAcentral.